Long non-coding RNA from Gossypium arboreum, 338 nucleotides. RefSeq lists it as uncharacterized. The record is from RefSeq and is a predicted model, not a curated record. NCBI's taxonomy places the organism in Eukaryota, Viridiplantae, Streptophyta, Magnoliopsida, Malvales, Malvaceae. The transcript is spliced from 2 exons.
AUGCUCGUAAGAUAGUUGGGUUUGUAUAUUUGGUAAUCUAAAGUAAUAAACUGCAGUACGCGCGAUUUCGUACAUUUUGAUAAUUUGGGCUUAAUGGGCCAAAGAUCGGGUUCAUGGGCCAACGGGCCCAAUUCAAUAAGUAUGUGCGGUAAUCCCCAACCAUAGUGGGCUUGGAGCUGUGAGGGAAUUCGGAGUGGCCACCUGUUCUGAAAGUUUGAUUUUCUUCUGGUGAACUGGACAUCCUUUUAUUUACGUUUGAAGUUUUGGGUUUUUAAAUGUAAUAAGGCCGCUUAUUUAUUUUUGAUGGUUUUUUUUAUAUGUAUUACUAAGAUAGGUAA